CUGGCUCAGGAUGAACGCUAGCGACAGGCUUAACACAUGCAAGUCGAGGGGCAGACAUAAAAGUAGCAAUACUUGGUGGCGACCGGCGCACGGGUGAGUAACGCGUAUGCAACCUACCUAUCAGAGGGGAAUAACCCGGCGAAAGUCGGACUAAUACCGCAUAAAACAGGGGCACCGCAUGGUGAUAUUUGUUAAAGAAAUUCGCUGAUAGAUGGGCAUGCGUUCCAUUAGGUAGUUGGUGAGGUAACGGCUCACCAAGCCGACGAUGGAUAGGGGAACUGAGAGGUUGGUCCCCCACACUGGUACUGAGACACGGACCAGACUCCUACGGGAGGCAGCAGUGAGGAAUAUUGGUCAAUGGGCGAGAGCCUGAACCAGCCAAGUCGCGUGAAGGAAAAGAAGGAUCUAUGGUUCGUAAACUUCUUUUGCAGGGGAAUAAAGUGCAGGACGUGUCCUGUUUUGUAUGUACCCUGAGAAUAAGGAUCGGCUAACUCCGUGCCAGCAGCUGC
RNAcentral lists this ribosomal RNA (509 nucleotides) under uncultured bacterium. RNAcentral's name for it is "bacterial SSU rRNA". It matches the Rfam family "Bacterial small subunit ribosomal RNA", at positions 19 to 518 of the family's 1533-position model. The record is from RNAcentral.